UAUGCCUCACCCCCCUGGGGGGGCUGGGGAGCCUGGGCACGGGGGCAUGUCUGGGCUGCAAGAUAGGCAUCGGUAUCCACAGAAUUGGCCCGCAAACACCCCAGCCCCCUCCGCCCCAUCCCGGAUGUCGGAAAAUUUCCCGGGACACGGUGGGCCCACCGGGGCCCAUUUUCGGAAAAAUUCAAAAAUGGAGCAUGGGCAUCGCCCUUGCUUUAGGCAUACAUGGGGCUUUAUUUUCUUAUUGUAGGUGAGGCAUCGAGGUGUUGUGUAGCCUAUAAUAGCCCCAGUCGGAACUGACGCGGGCCCGAAUAUGAAUUGACGGAAUUUUAUGCGGCUGUGAUGGCCGUAGAGGGCGAGGCCGAGAC
RNAcentral lists this long non-coding RNA (365 nucleotides) under Ricinus communis (castor bean). RNAcentral's name for it is "long non-coding RNA (RCOM_LNC003740)". The record is from RNAcentral. Lineage: Eukaryota; Viridiplantae; Streptophyta; Magnoliopsida; Malpighiales; Euphorbiaceae.